GCUCCGGUGGCGCAAUUGGUUAGCGUGUCGUACUUAUAAGACAAGCACCUUCCCAUUGCUUACAAUGGUUAAAGAAAUGCGGAGGCCAUGAGUUCGAGCAUAAUCCGGAGCA
RNAcentral lists this transfer RNA (112 nucleotides) under Dreissena polymorpha. RNAcentral describes it as "tRNA-Ile". The record is from RNAcentral. Lineage: Eukaryota; Metazoa; Mollusca; Bivalvia; Myida; Dreissenidae.